RNAcentral lists this long non-coding RNA (201 nucleotides) under Solanum tuberosum (potato). Its description in RNAcentral is "long non-coding RNA (STUB_LNC000167)". The record is from RNAcentral. Lineage: Eukaryota; Viridiplantae; Streptophyta; Magnoliopsida; Solanales; Solanaceae.
AAUUAUCUCUUAUAUAUCUCUUUUCUCUAUUUCUAUUUUAUUUUUUUCUGUAUAAUUUACUGGGUAAACAAUAAACAAAAGAUAUUAACACUUGAUUUUUGUGUUCAUUGAAUAGAAAAUCAGAAAACAAAAAUGACAGAUGCUGGAGAAAAAGUUAGUUGGAGAAUCAUCAACCUCCCAAAAAAGAUCAAAAAGGCAAAG